Molecule: ribosomal RNA, 468 nt
Filed under: uncultured bacterium
Lineage: Bacteria
Description: partial 16S ribosomal RNA
Rfam family: Bacterial small subunit ribosomal RNA
Source: RNAcentral
GACGAACGCUGGCGGCGUGCUUAACACAUGCAAGUCGAACGGAAAGGCCCUGCUUUUGUGGGGUGCUCGAGUGGCGAACGGGUGAGUAACACGUGAGUAACCUGCCCUUGACUUUGGGAUAACUUCAGGAAACUGGGGCUAAUACCGUAUAGGAGCUCCUGCUGCAUGGAGGGGGUUGGAAAGUUUCGGCGGUCGGGGAUGGACUCGCGGCUUAUCAGCUUGUUGGUGGGGUAGUGGCUUACCAAGGCAUUGACGGGUAGCCGGCCUGAGAGGGUGACCGGCCACAUUGGGACUGAGAUACGGCCCAGACUCCUACGGGAGGCAGCAGUGGGGAAUAUUGCACAAUGGGCGGAAGCCUGAUGCAGCAACGCCGCGUGCGGGAUGACGGCCUUCGGGUUGUAAACCGCUUUCGCCUGUGACGAAGCGUGAGUGACGGUAAUGAGUAAAGAAGCACCGGCUAACUACGUG